RNAcentral lists this ribosomal RNA (445 nucleotides) under uncultured bacterium. RNAcentral's name for it is "partial 16S ribosomal RNA". It matches the Rfam family "Bacterial small subunit ribosomal RNA", at positions 354 to 796 of the family's 1533-position model. The record is from RNAcentral.
GUAAGGAAUAUUGGUCAAUGGAGGCAACUCUGAACCAGCCAUGCCGCGUGCAGGAUGACGGCCCUCUGGGUUGUAAACUGCUUUUAUUCGGGAAUAAACCUACUUACGUGUAAGUAGCUGAAUGUACCGAAGGAAUAAGGAUCGGCUAACUCCGUGCCAGCAGCCGCGGUAAUACGGAGGAUCCAAGCGUUAUCCGGAUUUAUUGGGUUUAAAGGGUGCGUAGGCGGCCUAUUAAGUCAGGGGUGAAAGACGGUAGCUCAACUAUCGCAGUGCCUUUGAUACUGAUGGGCUUGAAUACACUAGAGGUAGGCGGAAUGUGACAAGUAGCGGUGAAAUGCAUAGAUAUGUCACAGAACACCGAUUGCGAAGGCAGCUUACUAUGGUGUGAUUGACGCUGAGGCACGAAAGCGUGGGGAUCAAACAGGAUUAGAUACCCUUGUAGUCC